This 294-nucleotide long non-coding RNA is filed under the name Nicotiana benthamiana. Its description in RNAcentral is "long non-coding RNA (NBEN_LNC009189)". The record is from RNAcentral. Lineage: Eukaryota; Viridiplantae; Streptophyta; Magnoliopsida; Solanales; Solanaceae.
UCAACUGUGGCGACUUCUUCUUUCUUUUUCCUCCCUAGCGCACCUCAUGUACCACUCUAAAUAGCUUGGGUUGUUUCCUUAAGUGCCGAGUAAUUAAGGAUUUUAUCGGACCUCAGUCCCUCCACUAUCAUAACCCCUAUCUUUACUACUUCAUUUAAAGAUUUUUCGAUCGUCGUCACCAAGUGACCAAAGUAAGUUGGGUCCAGCGUUUGCAGGAAGUAGUCCACCAUUUCCACUAUCUCAAGGGAGGAUCAACCCUGGCUGCUUGUUCUCUCCAGCAGAAACCGAAUUCAC